UCAUACCGGACGGGGUAUUGAGGUUCAUGGUUUUGGCACCCAUACCGGACGGGGUAUGGGGACGGCCCUGGAAUCAGGUUGUAGAUGUUAAUGGUUCACGUGUAGCGGGGACCCCCUAUGGAUCCCCAGGGAUACUAGUAGGCUGGUAAAAGAGGAAAUUUAUUUUCUGAUGAUUGAAAUAUAAAGGUAUGAUAUAUGUUAUGUUAUAAAGUGUGUAUGAUUUCAUGAUAUUAUAAGGUUAUUGUUUUCAUAUGUUAUUUUCAUGGAUCUCAUUGAGGUAAGUGGACAGUAAAGGUUUUUAUAUUAAUAAAUGAGUUCGUUAUAAAUUAUGCUCCAUUGGUCAUUUUU
This 348-nucleotide long non-coding RNA is filed under the name Carica papaya (papaya). Its description in RNAcentral is "long non-coding RNA (CPAP_LNC002781)". Lineage: Eukaryota; Viridiplantae; Streptophyta; Magnoliopsida; Brassicales; Caricaceae. The record is from RNAcentral.